AAUGGGGGCAACCCUGAUCCAGCAAUGCCGCGUGAGUGAAGAAGGCUUUCGGGUUGUAAAGCUCUUUUGGCAGGGACGAUAAUGACGGUACCUGCAGAAUAAUCCCCGGCAAACUUCGUGCCAGCAGCCGCGGUAAUACGAAGGGGGCUAGCGUUGNUCGGAUUUACUGGGCGUAAAGGGCGCGUAGGCGGAUACUAAAGUUAGGCGUGAAAACCCUGGGCUCAACCUAGGACGUGCGUUUAAUACUGAGUAUCUAGAGUAUGUGAGAGGAUGGCGGAAUUACCAGUGUAGAGGUGAAAUUCGUAGAUAUUGGUAAGAACACCGGUGGCGAAGGCGGCCAUCUGGCGCAUAACUGACGCUGAGGCGCGAAAGCGUGGGGAUCAAA
Molecule: ribosomal RNA, 385 nt
Filed under: uncultured bacterium
Lineage: Bacteria
Description: bacterial SSU rRNA
Rfam family: Bacterial small subunit ribosomal RNA
Source: RNAcentral